GAUGAACGCUGGCGGCGUGCCUAAUACAUGCAAGUCGAGCGAACGGACGAGAAGCUUGCUUCUCUGAUGUUAGCGGCGGACGGGUGAGUAACACGUGGAUAACCUACCUAUAAGACUGGGAUAACUUCGUGAAACCGGAGCUAAUACCGGAUAAUAUUUUGAACCGCAUGGUUCAAAAGUGAAAGACGGUCUUGCUGUCACUUAUAGAUGGAUCCGCGCUGCAUUAGCUAGUUGGUAAGGUAACGGCUUACCAAGGCAACGAUGCAUAGCCGACCUGAGAGGGUGAUCGGCCACACUGGAACUGAGACACGGUCCAGACUCCUACGGGAGGCAGCAGUAGGGAAUCUUCCGCAAUGGGCGAAAGCCUGACGCAGCAACGCCGCGUGAGUGAUGAAGGUCUUCGGAUCGUAAAACUCUGUUAUUAGGGAAGAACAUAUGUGUAAGUAACUGUGCAUAUCUUGACGGUACCUAAUCAGAAAGCCACGGCUAACUACGUG
RNAcentral lists this ribosomal RNA (497 nucleotides) under uncultured bacterium. RNAcentral describes it as "partial 16S ribosomal RNA". It matches the Rfam family "Bacterial small subunit ribosomal RNA", at positions 28 to 507 of the family's 1533-position model. The record is from RNAcentral.